This 2880-nucleotide ribosomal RNA is filed under the name Mycoplasmopsis felis. Its description in RNAcentral is "23S ribosomal RNA". It matches the Rfam family "Bacterial large subunit ribosomal RNA". Lineage: Bacteria; Bacillati; Mycoplasmatota; Mycoplasmoidales; Metamycoplasmataceae. The record is from RNAcentral.
UUUUAAAUAAGUAAGAGUGAGUUGUGGAUCUUUAGGUCUGGAAGUCGAUGAAGGACGUGAUUACCUGCGAUAAAGUCCUCGUGGAGCUGGAUAUAAGCUACGAAACGGGGAUUUCCGAAUGGGGAAACCUAGUUAGAGUAAUUUCUAACUGCAUUGGAAUGAAUAUAUAGUUCUAAUUAGCGAGACACGUUGUGAACUGAAACAUCUUAGUAGCAACAGGAAAAGAAAAUAAAUAAUGAUUCCAUCAGUAGCAUGAGCGAAAUUGAAAAGCUCAAACCAACUUAGUUGGGGUUGUAGGACUAUCUACAUAAAGUUACAAAUUUUUAUUAUAGCAGAAUAAGUUGGAAAACUUAAGCACAGAAGGUGAAACUCCUGUAUGUGAAAUAAUAAGAACUUUUGAUAGUAUCCUGAGUAGGGCAAGACGUGAAACCCUGUCUGAAUCUCAAGGACCAUCCGGUAAGGUUUAAAUACUAACCAGACACCGAUAGUGAACUAGUACCGUGAGGGAAAGGUGAAAAGAACCCCGGGAGGGAGUGAAAUAGAAUCUGAAACAACUUACUUACAAUUAGUCAGAGUAGUUAAUGGGCAUUGAUGGCGUAUAUCUUGCAGUAUGGAUUUACGAGUUAUGUUAACACGCAAGGUUAAGCAGAGAAAAGCGGAGCCCGCAGAGAAAUCGAGUCUUAAUAGGGCGUUUAGUAUGUUGACAUAUACCCGAAACCACGCGAUUCAUUCACGAGCAGGUUGAAGUUUGGGUAACACCAAAUGGAGGAUCGAACCGUAUGCUGAAAAGCGCCCGGAUGACUUGUGAAUAGUGGAGAAAUUCCAAUCGAACUUGGAGAUAGCUGGUUCUCCUCGAAAUAGCUUUAGAGUACUAGCGUGUGAUGUUAAACUUUGGUGGUAGAGCACUGAAUAUGGAAUACUGCGCCAAUGGUAUUGACUAUAAUCAAACUCCGAAUACCAUCGUGUAUUGUCACGCAGUCGGAACCGGGGUGCUAACGUCCUUAUCAUGAGGCGAACAACCCAGAUCGUCGACUAAGGUCCCAAAAUCGUGUUAAGUCAGAAAGGUUGUGAGAUUUCAUAAACAACUAGGAGGUUAUUUUAGAAGCGCCCACCCUUUAAAGAGUGCGUAAUAGCUCACUAGUCAAGAGAUCUUUCAUGCCAAUAAUUUAACGGGAGUAAAACACGAUACCGAAGUCACGGGUAUGAAAGCAUGUUAGAGGAGCGUUCUUAAUGCAUUGAAGCUAGACUGUGAAGACUGGUGGAGCGUUAAGAAGUGAGAACGCCGGUAUGAGUAACGAUUUGUGGUGAGAAUCCACAACGCCUAUUGGGAAAGGUUUCCUGGGGAAGGUUCGUCCACCCAGGGUUAGUCGAGACCUAAGGGGAUAUUUUGAAAAGCGUAUUCGAUGGAUAACAGGUUAAUAUUCCUAUACCACUUAUAUAUGUCGUGGAGUGACGGAGAAGGAUAACAUAUUUCAUUAAUGGAUUUGGGUGUAAAUAACAACUGGAAAACAUAGUUAAAUGCGUGUUUUAUAACCGGGAGUUAUGAUGCAAAGGUUUAACAGCUGAAUUAUGUGAAUUCAUACUUCCAAGAAAAGCUUCUAAACAUUUAAAAUAUAUAUGCGCUCAGAUGAGAACGGACACACGUUCCCAAGAUGAGUAUUCUAAUGAGCGAGAAAACCAAUGUUAAGGAACUCUGCAAAUUAACCCCGUAAGUUCAUGAGAAGGGGCGCCAACUUUUUUGAGUUUACCACAGUAAAUUGUGAGGGCAACUGUUUAUCAAAAACACAGCUCUCUGCUAAACCGCAAGGUGAUGUAUAGGGGGUGAAGCUCGCCCAGCGCCUGAAGGUUAAGUGGAUGCGUUAGCUUAUGCGAAGCGUUGAAAUGAAGCUCGGUGAACAGCGUACCGUAACUAUAACUGGUCCUAAGGUAGCGAAAUUCCUUGUCACUAAAUACUGACCUGCACGAAAGGCGCAAUGAUCUCUCAACUGUCUCAACAUUGGACUCGGUGAAAUUAUAUCCCAGUGAAAACGCUGGGUUCCCGCAUCAAGACGAGAAGACCCUACGGAGCUUUACUACAACUUCGUAUUGGAACUUUACCAAUACGUGUAGGAUAGGUGGGAGACUAUGAUACUAAGACGCUAGUUUUAGAGGAGUCAACCUUGAAAUACCACCCUUGGUAUGUUGAGUUUCUAACUGCCACCGUUAUCCGGUGGGGAGACAGUGCGUGGUGGGUAGUUUGACUGGGGCGGUCGCCUCCUAAAAGGUAACGGAGGCGUUCAAAGAUGACACCUCAAUACGGUCAGAAACCGUAUGUAGAGCGCAAAGGUAGAAGUGUGCUUAACUGCGAGACCUACAAGUCGAGCAGGUGCGAAAGCAGGACUUAGUGAUCAAGGCAUACAUGUCGCGGAACAGCAGUCGCUCAACGGAUAAAAGUUACCCUGGGGAUAACAUACUUAUCUCGCCCAAGAGAUCACAUCGACAGCAAGGUUUGGCGCCUCGAUGUCACUCAUCGCAUCCUGGAGCUGGAGUCGGUUCCAAGGGUUUUACUGUUCGCCAAUUAAAGCAGACAUGAGCUGGGUUCAGAACGUCGUGAGACAGUUCGUCCCUAUCUGAUGUGGCGUUGGAAUAUUGAUGAGAGCUGCUCUUAGCAUGAGAGGACCGGAGUGGACAUGCCGCUGGUGUUCCAGUUGUUCUGCCAAGAGCAUAGCUGGGUAGCUAAAUAUGGAAGGGAUAACCGCUGAAAGCAUCUAAGUGGGAAGCCUCCUCAGAGAUAAGUAUUCCCUUGAAAUUCCUUGUAGACUACGAGGUUGAUAGGAUGGAAGUGUAAGUGUAGUAAUACAUUCAGCUGACCAUUACUAAUAAAUUGAUAGGUUUAAAAGU